AAAUAAUAUUCAAAGAAGAAGAAGAUAUAUACCAUUAAUUCUCUCAUCAAUCAUGGCCAAGAUCAGUAUUUUCCUUUGCUCUCUAGUAGUAGUUCUAAUUGUCAUGUCAUCUUUCGGGUCGAAUAUGGUAUCAGCACAAACAGAAUGCGCGUAUUAUACCCGACCUGAAAUAAAUGACUGCUCAAAGGAGUGUGCCACGGUUUGUACAGAAAGAGGCUAUCAGGAAUCCUAUUGCUGGGAUUUUGAGUUAAACUGCAAGUGUUGCACGACCAGCUCCUUUCUCUCUUCUCUCCUCUCCUCUUUUUUCUAGGAAUUUAUAAAGAAUUUAAGUUGUUGCUUAGAUUUGGUCUUUUUGAAUCAGAUUUACUUUGGGGUGAGUUUCUCUUCGUUUUGAGGACAAUUUAUUUAAACUUCGAUCGACGAUUCGUGACUUGCUAUUCUCGAAUCAAGAACAUCGAUAAUCCAACACGAUGUUGCUUUAAAUCCAUAUUCAAUCCAAAGAAUUUAGGCAUCUGGGUUCAUUUGGAUCAUUUCUUUUAGGAGUGUCUCUUAUUGGAUAUGGAUUAGAAAAUCAGAUUAAAUCGUCGGAACCGGUUCCGGAUUAUACUAUCAUCUGCAUUUACAAAAAUUGGAUAUCUUUAUGGUUUAUAACUCUUUUCUUCACGAUUUACUUGUAAUUGAUAUAUCUUCAUUUGUAUUACGGUUUUGAUUAUCUUGUACUUUGAUGUUUUUGUUAUUCUUAUAAGCAA
This is a long non-coding RNA of Papaver somniferum (opium poppy), 749 nucleotides long. RefSeq lists it as uncharacterized. The transcript has 3 exons. NCBI's taxonomy places the organism in Eukaryota, Viridiplantae, Streptophyta, Magnoliopsida, Ranunculales, Papaveraceae. The record is from RefSeq and is a predicted model, not a curated record.